AUGGAGUACGAGCACCGGUACAACAGCAGUGGCAGCUUGGGCAAGGAGAAGAGGCCUCCGGCGAAGAGGGGGCAGGUCAAGCUGCAGAUAGCGAGGGCGCUGAGCAACCUCGUCUCUCCCGGCGCCGCUGCCGACGGCUCGAAGCAGGCAAAUCGCAGCAGCUUCAGAAGGGAAACAAGCUACAACUGA
This 189-nucleotide ribosomal RNA is filed under the name Triticum aestivum (bread wheat). RNAcentral's name for it is "partial small subunit ribosomal RNA". The record is from RNAcentral. Lineage: Eukaryota; Viridiplantae; Streptophyta; Magnoliopsida; Poales; Poaceae.